CCUACGGGAGGCUGCAGUGAGGAAUAUUGGUCAAUGGGCGAGAGCCUGAACCAGCCAAGUCGCGUGAAGGAUGACGGCCCUACGGGUUGUAAACUUCUUUUGUCAGGGAGCAAUUGGGUCCACGCGUGGGCUUAGCGAGAGUACCUGAAGAAAAAGCAUCGGCUAACUCCGUGCCAGCAGCCGCGGUAAUACGGAGGAUGCGGGCGUUCUCCGGAUUUAUUGGGUUUAAAUGGUGCGUAGGCGGAAUAUCAAGUCAGCGGUAAAACUUCGGGGCUCAACCCCGUCGUGCCGUUGAAACUGAUGUUCUUGAGGGGGCGAGAAGUAUGCGGAAUGCGUGGUGUAGCAGUGAAAUGCAUAGAUAUCACGCAGAACUCCAAUUGCGAAGGCAACAUACCGGCGCCCAACUGACGCUGAAGCACGAAAGCGUGGGUAGCGAACAGGAUUAGAUACCCCUGUAGUC
This 460-nucleotide ribosomal RNA is filed under the name uncultured bacterium. Its description in RNAcentral is "partial 16S ribosomal RNA". It matches the Rfam family "Bacterial small subunit ribosomal RNA", at positions 338 to 795 of the family's 1533-position model. The record is from RNAcentral.